Long non-coding RNA from Cydia pomonella (codling moth), 2898 nucleotides. RefSeq lists it as uncharacterized. NCBI's taxonomy places the organism in Eukaryota, Metazoa, Arthropoda, Insecta, Lepidoptera, Tortricidae. The record is from RefSeq and is a predicted model, not a curated record. The transcript is spliced from 4 exons.
UGUUAGGCAAACACAAACAUUUUUUUUACAACGGACGCCCACGAGUAUUCCUCUGCGUUGAAGUCAUUGUUGAAGUUUGAAAACUCAUAAAGUUUUGUUUUGUGAGUGAAACCGUGAAUAAUACUAAAUAAAAAUGUGUGACAGUGAUCACAGUGAUGAAAAUAUGUUGCCCACUACUCCUCAGGAAAUAUUAAAGCCUUUUCCGUUUAUGUUGUUCCGUUGUUUGCUAUUUUGACAACUUGAAAAGUUUUAUCGGCAGUUUGCGUGUUAUUACUGUGAAGUGUUUGGCCAAACCGCCGCUACCACUUUUGAAAGGAUGCCACCCAAAAAUCCAAAAAUUCGCUCGAACGCAGCACAAAUUAGAUUGCUCGUUGAAUACAUGUCACAGCACACCCGGUUCGCCAACCGGGAAUUUGACGGGCCUCUAAGGACCCCAGAGGUACGAGGCGCAAUGGGAGGCCCUUGCACAGGCCUUAAGGGAGCACGGGCCCAAUAAGUCAGUGCAGGCAUGGAAAGUGGUGGGCACCUGCUCCCCGCUGGCGACACCCUUGCAGAAGCUAGCAUUUUCAGAUAUAUUUACUUUUUAAGUUUUUGGUUUGGUUUAACCGGAAUUAUUUUUACCCGACUAUGAGAAUGGGAAGGGUUAUGAUUUUAGCAGUCUACGUAUGGAUGCCGUAUAUAUGCCGGUAUGUUUUUGUUGUGUAUAAAUUACUAAUCAAUUUUGGUGAAUGAGGUGUUUAUAGGUUCAUUUUUAUGGGGUGACAUAGACUACAUAAUAAUAUUUAACUGACUUUGGACAAGGAAGAGGUGCUAUAGUUAAGAAAAAAAUCAUAGUCGGGUAAAAGUUUUUACAAUCUUUUGCUUGUUUUCAUUCUUAUAACAAAUAUUUUAAACUUGCAUGUGCUCAUUGCCUCAGAUUGACGACUACGUUGAGUUUUCGGGUGCUGGGAACAGUGUGGCUGGCAGCACGUUUUCUGCCACUGCUGAAAAUCUCGUUGUUGUUCCAACAACCGCCACCGUUACUGCGGCCUUGCUCAGCGAACAACCCCACUUCUCCACCUCUCAUUUGUCCUCGUCUCCCUCUCCUUCUGCCAGCCCUAUACGCUCCACGCAUUCAGUACUGCCCACAAGUCCUGGACUACCCGAACGUCCCUCCCUUGCCGCCCUUUCCGCCCGCUAUGCCCGUCCCGCCCUUCUCGCUCGUUCCGCAAUAACCGCCCAACCCGCACGUCUUGUCCUGCCUGCACGUCAAGUACACAGCUCUGUGUACGUGGAUCCGCGCCCUGCACGCGUAUCCACGUACACAGAGCUGUGUACUUGCCCCGCAACCGCACGACGGAACCGGCACCUUCGACAGCACAAUUUAAUCAUCUGCAGCAUGAGCAUGAUAAUAUUUUAAGAGUAAUUAAUUAAUUUAUGAACUAAUAAUUCUGUUUUAAGAUCAGGUUGAGUACGAGAAACAUUGUUUAUUUAACUUGGGACAAGAAAAACAGUAACUUGGCAGUAAGAAUGCAUACAUAAAGCCUGUAAGCUCCAUACUUGACGUACCAUUCCCUACAAGUGUUUCUCUUGCCUCCAUAUUUCGCUUACCCCAUCUGACCUUAUUUGUAUUGAUAAAACAUACAAAUAAUAAAUAUAUAUAUACGCGAGCAAUCGCAAAAUCUACAUUUCGGGAUUUCUCGUAUCGUACAGUGCCGUUUAAAUAAAAUAACACCACCAACUACCCAUAAGAGGGUUAUUAUGAAACUUAUAAUUAACAUGCAUUUUAUUGAAAGGCUGGAAUUUUAUUUAUCUUGAAAUCUUGACCAUGGUCAUAUGUUUGACUGGACGGUACACGGCAAUGUUAUUAUUACUAAUAUAUUUCAUAACACUAGACUUAUUCAAUCCUAAGUAACCUAUUAGCUUCUCAUUCGUGUGCGGUAUAUAUCAGCGUUUGGUAGUAUCAUAAUAGUCAAAUCUGGUGUUGGUUGUUGUUAAUAGUUAAAUGUUCAUAAAAUUUGACAACUUAUUAUAGUUAUAUUUUGUGUGAGUCAGUUAUCAUAACAGAAAUAAGAUAUAAAGCUGUUAAUACCGUAAAUUGUGUAUGGAUAUGUUUGACUCAAAUUCUGUAUUCCCACAAUAAGUAGGUAUACGGGGAGCCCGUAAGAAAUCAGUGGUAUAUGAAGGCUUUCUUGUGCAACUUUAGUAUGAGCUGGAACAAGUAAAUGUAGUUAUGUAGAACAGAUAAUCUCCAUUGUGGUAGAUGGCGCUAUUUAUUAUGUGCUCUGUGAUACCACUUAGUUUAAACUUGCUAUAACAUAUUUUAUGUUGACAGGAUAUCCUGAACGAACUGAAAAUUUUUAAUGAGGCGCAGAAACAAAAAUGGAGUGUUUUGAAGGAGGGGCACGACUUGUUGGCGAAUCGUAUUAACACAUUGGAGGACACCGAGAUUAUUGAGAACUUGGAAGACACAGUUAUAAUGGAAGAGGAAGACGUCUGAGCUAAGCGCUGUCCUCGCACCCUCCGUCUAGUUUACGUUUGCGGCCAUAUCAAAAAUACACACCGUAUGUUUAUUAGGGUUCCGUACCAAAAAGGUACAAAAGGAACCCUUAUGGUGCUAUUGCUAAAUAUCUCGAGAAGUACUUAAGCUAUCGAUGUGAAAUUUGGAAUAGUAAUGAAUAACGCUGACCCAAACAUAUUGGAUGUGUAUUUAUUUUAUUUUAUUUGUAAGUAUUAAUAAUGGAAAAUUCCCAAUAUGAAGAGGGGGUAAAAUUGCAAAGUCUAGUUAAAUAGGUCAAGUGGGGUAUCAUUUGAAAGAGCUCAAAUUGAAAAUUACAAAACAAUUUUUUAUUUUCAUUGUGAAAAAAAAAUUUACGUAUGAAGGAAAAUGUGAAAAUAAUACCAUCCCCCCCCCCCCUC